RNAcentral lists this long non-coding RNA (2833 nucleotides) under Xyrichtys novacula (pearly razorfish). The record is from RNAcentral. Lineage: Eukaryota; Metazoa; Chordata; Actinopteri; Labriformes; Labridae.
AGAAUUGAGGUUGGGCAAAAAGGUACACUAAAUAUUCAGGCACAAGUUUGAGCAACAAAAAAUCAAAAGAAGAAGUUGUUUAUGCCCAAGGGUGCGAUCUUCUUAGUUUUGUAGAGAGGCGAGGGAUUAUUUAUUCAAAUCUUAUUGCUACUUUGAAAAACAUCAGCAGCACCGUCUCAAAGACAUUAAUCUGCAAAAAAAAAAAAAAAAAAAUCCUACAGUAGCUGUUUCAUAUUUGAAUGUGGCCUAGAUUUACUCUGGGGCUUACUGGGACUCUGUAGACAGGAUGGUAACCUUAUUGCCCCUUAAAUGCACACCAAAGCAGUAUUUUUUUCUCACUCUACCCCUUAGUUUUUCUCCCGCAGAGAGCAGGGAUUUUAAUUCCCUGAUGCGCCUGCAGUUUACAUGUGUUUUUCUGAGUGAUAGCGUUGAGUAAGACUAUCAUCGGCUAUCAGCAGAACAGGUUUGGUCUCCAGACACAUGGAGGGUGGAAUUAAGGAGUGAAGUGAAAGAGUAUGUGGAGGCUGAUCUUCGCUGUAAGAUUACCAGACAGCUGUUGGCGUCAUUUGCCGUGUGUGGUGAUAACACAGAGCAGGCUUGAGCGGCUUUUGGAGCUGCUCUUCAAACGUGUCAGGUCUCCAUAUGUGAGUACGUCUAGAGGAACAUCUGUAAGAGCAAGAAGGAAUGCUAUUUGCUUCUCGUGAAAGCUCAGAUGCAGCAGGUAAAGUUAAUGUCACCUUUGAAGCAGUCGCAAAAAAAAAAAAAAAAGGCUGAUGAGAUUUCUGAGUAAACCUGUUUUUUACUUAACAACUCGCACAUUAAGUGGUGCAAAGUGACAUGUUUUCAUAUAGAGUUUUUGUACUUCAGAGUGUAAUUUAUUUUUCAGUUUGUUCCUCAUUCCACUUCUCUGUUAACAGUACUUAAAAAAGUCGGCAGGAAAUAGAGGCCUCUUUUCAUAAUUCCCUGUUUCUGUUUCCAUUAGAGACACAUUUCCCGUCCAGAACCCUCAGACGGUUUCAUUUAGCAAACUCUUAGGAGCCCAAAAAGGGAAAAGAUUACAAUAUUCAUAAUAAAAGGCCAAAAAAUAUGAGUCGAAUCAAAAGUAUGAUCAUGCAUUUGUGCUGAAGAAGUCUCUGUUCCCGUUUCCCUUCCACAUUUAUCUCCUGACCUUUCAAAGGAGACAUAACCUCUGGGUUUCAAACCUUUGGACCCAACUACUGAGCUAUAAAAUAACUUCAUUCUGCUCCACAAAGGCUUCCUGUGCCUUUAUUGUGACACCAAAAUAAGCUGUCAGCAUGUGGUUUUGAUUUAAGAUAGUUUCAUGUUGGAAGAAUAGAGGCAUGUUGUGUUCAUGAGGGUAACAGUCACAAAUACUAUCAUGAGAGUUUAGAUUGAGUGACAGAUUUGUUCCUAUUGCUAAUCCAAAACUCAGUCCAACUAUUUCAAAUUCACCCAGAGGGGGUUUACCAAGACUGAAAAGUCUCAACUGCAGGGUCUUUUUUAUCUUUUUUUCACGCCAAUCUCAAGAGAAACUGUGGGAAUUUUAGAAUAAAGCUGCACCACUAUUUGCACGUUCUGUACUUUAUCUCACAAGCAUGGCAAUUUGCAAGAUAAUAUCAGGUUUCUGUGACGCAAAAGACAAGGCAGAUAAGACCUGGACCUCUGCCAAACCACCUCAGGUAGAUAUCUGUCCAGUCUGUUUGUGCCAUGAGUUUACACCUGUCCAAAAGGAAGUUUUACUCAGCAGUUUUAUAAACUUUUCAAGGUUUAAAUGUUAAGGAUUUAUAAGUGCGAUCCCUUUUUUGUGCUUCUGUUUCCAUUUAAACAAAAGACUUUUUCUUGCUUUCACUGAAGAAUCAUUUCUGCUUCUGUUAUUGUAUUAUUAUGUUAUUAUGUUAUUGUACUUUUAUAUCAGUGAUAGUCUGAUUAAUACUGAUAACUGGAAGUGUGUAUUCGUUCAUUCGUUUAUUUGUCAUGUGUGUUUUUUAUUUAAUUGAAAACUUUCCUGCUGCUACCUGAAACAACACUGAUAAGAGGAGGGCAAACAGUUAAGUGAAAAUAAAACCAAAAACAAGUGGGAAAUAACGUAGAGUUGAGAGAAACUGUUCACGGAUUUUCUCUGUCGAUGCCUCACAAUCAGUUCUUCACUUUACUUUCUGUAUUGAUCCGUUGCUUUCGUUUGAUUAGAUCCGUUGUCAUUACAAAGACACAGUGACAUACAAUCAAUGGGGAGGAGAAAACAUAGAUUUGAAAUCAUGGAAAUGACUGACAGAUACUGGGAAUAUUGAAAUACUAUUUCCCAUUUUGAUAACACAGUUUUACGAAUGAAAGUCGCUUUCAUUUCACCUCGAUUACUGUGAGAAAAAAGUGAGAUAAAACGGAGGAUAAAAGUCCUCGGUUUUUCACACAACGGUUCUAUUAUAUCACCUGAGAAGUCGCCAUUGCAACAACAGUCAGUACAUGUACAUGCACAGUAAAGUCAAGCUAUGGUCAUCUAAAGGUGGGGUAGGCAGGAUCUGAGGAAGUGCCAGUUUUUGGGAGAAAUCUUGAAUGUAAACGCUACCCCUCCCAACCAGUUUUCCCCUCAGCUCCUCCUCUCCCCUCCCUCUCUGCUCCAGCAAGCCCCGCCCACAAACAGACGCUCCUGCUCGCUCCUAUUGUUUCAAUUAAAUUCAGAUAUAAUGCAGAUAAAUACUUCAGAUAAUUACAAAUGGGGCCCAGUCAACGUGAAAGUAAAAAGCAUUGGAGCUACUACAGAUGCCAACAGUCUACCAGCGAACACAAUGUUUGUAGGACUUCUACAACUAGGAUAAAGAGACAUAGUCCAGGACCC